RNAcentral lists this ribosomal RNA (460 nucleotides) under uncultured bacterium. RNAcentral describes it as "partial 16S ribosomal RNA". It matches the Rfam family "Bacterial small subunit ribosomal RNA", at positions 338 to 795 of the family's 1533-position model. The record is from RNAcentral.
CCUACGGGUGGCAGCAGUGAGGAAUAUUGGUCAAUGGACGAGAGUCUGAACCAGCCAAGUCGCGUGAAGGAUGACUGCCCUAUGGGUUGUAAACUUCUUUUAUCAGGGAAUAAAAUGUUCCACGUGUGGGCUUUUGUAUGUACCAUAUGAAUAAGGAUCGGCUAACUCCGUGCCAGCAGCCGCGGUAAUACGGAGGAUCCGAGCGUUAUCCGGAUUUAUUGGGUUUAAAGGGGGCGUAGGUGGAUUGUUAAGUCAGUUGUGAAAGUUUGCGGCUCAACCGUAACAUGGCAGUUGAAACUGGCAGUCUUGAGUACAGUAGAGGUGGGCGGAAUUCGUGGUGUAGCGGUGAAAUGCUUAGAUAUCACGAAGAACUCCGAUUGCGAAGGCAGCUCACUGGACUGCAACUGACGCUGAGGCUCGAAAGUGUGGGUAUCAAACAGGAUUAGAUACCCCUGUAGUC